GCUUUUGUAAAGAGUUUCAGGUAGAUUAUGUGGCAUUUGUAAAGCUUUUGGGCACAUAGAUACCCUGGUUGGUUUAAAAAUUAUAAGCAAAAGAAGAUUGGCUUUAACAAUGAAAAUCAUACUUAUGGAACCACUGAGGACCUUCGGAACUCACAUCAGUUAUGGAACCACUGAGGACCUUCGGAACUCACAUCAGUUAUGGAACCACUGAGGACCUUCGGAACUCACAUCAAUUGUAGAGUGUGCGUGUAUAGGAUUUAGAUGAAAUUAAGGACUUUGUCAAAUAUAUUUUUGAUACUGUAUAAACACAAUUAUAAUUUAUUCCGAUCUUUC
RNAcentral lists this long non-coding RNA (333 nucleotides) under Manihot esculenta (cassava). RNAcentral's name for it is "long non-coding RNA (MESC_LNC005143)". Lineage: Eukaryota; Viridiplantae; Streptophyta; Magnoliopsida; Malpighiales; Euphorbiaceae. The record is from RNAcentral.